This 744-nucleotide ribosomal RNA is filed under the name uncultured bacterium. RNAcentral describes it as "bacterial SSU rRNA". It matches the Rfam family "Bacterial small subunit ribosomal RNA", at positions 94 to 823 of the family's 1533-position model. The record is from RNAcentral.
AGCGGCGGAUGGGUGAGUAACACGUGGGGAACCUGCCCCUAAGUCUGGGAUACCAUUUGGAAACAGGUGCUAAUACCGGAUAAUAAAGCAGAUCGCAUGAUCAGCUUUUGAAAGGCGGCGUAAGCUGUCGCUAAGGGAUGGCCCCGAGGUGCAUUAGCUAGUUGGUAAGGUAACGGCUUACCAAGGCGACGAUGCAUAGCCGAGUUGAGAGACUGAUCAGCCACAUUGGGACUGAGACACGGCCCAAACUCUUACGGGAGGCAGCAGUAGGGAAUCUUCCACAAUGGACGCAAGUCUGAUGGAGCAACGCCGCGUGAGUGAAGAAGGUUUUCGGAUCGUAAAGCUCUGUUGUUGGUGAAGAAGGAUAGAGGUAGUAACUGGCCUUUAUUUGACGGUAAUCAACCAGAAAGUCACGGCUAACUACGUGCCAGCAGCCGCGGUAAUACGUAGGUGGCAGGCGUUGUCCGGAUUUAUUGGGCGUAAAGCGAGCGCAGGCGGAAAAAUAAGUCUAAUGUGAAAGCCCUCGGCUUAACCGAGGAACUGCAUCGGAAACUGUUUUUCUUGAGUGCAGAAGAGGAGAGUGGAACUCCAUGUGUAGCGGUGGAAUGCGUAGAUAUAUGGAAGAACACCAGUGGCGAAAGGCGGCUCUCUGGUCUGCAACUGACGCUGAGGCUCGAAAGCAUGGGUAGCGAACAGGAUUAGAUACCCUGGUAGUCCAUGCCGUAAACGAUGAGUGCUAAGUGU